Papaver somniferum (opium poppy) is the source of this 82-nucleotide long non-coding RNA. RefSeq lists it as uncharacterized. Lineage: Eukaryota; Viridiplantae; Streptophyta; Magnoliopsida; Ranunculales; Papaveraceae. The transcript is spliced from 2 exons. The record is from RefSeq and is a predicted model, not a curated record.
AUUCCUGGGCCACAAAAGUCUGUCAGACAAGGGACCAUGCAAGAUGCACAAAAUUGCUCAAGCGUCAAAGGGCUAAACAUUG